GAGGGGGGCACAAGGCGGGUCGGCCAAUAGGGGCGCGCAGGGGUCGAGGAGGGGGCCCUGGAGAACGGAAGGGCUGAGACGGGGAAGCAGAGAGGAAAGGGAUGCAAGAGGCGACGCGACCGUUGAUUGGGCUGUUUGAAUGAGACGCCACCACUGCCCAGUACGCGCGCGCGCCCUGACGCCCAGGAAAUCGCGCACGCGACUAACGGUCGGCUUGGGAGCCUGGGCGGGGCGAGAGGAGGCGGGACUUGGGGGGUUUAAACGGAUGAUGGAAGGCACUCCGGCCAAUAGGGACGCGCAAUCGUGGACCGGCGUCACGAGGCUCGCACGGGCCAAUCCUUGACGGAGAAGGGAUUGCCAAGGGGGUGGGAGCAGUGGAGAACGACCAAUGGGGGCUCGGCCUAGCGCGGGCCAAGCCGAUCGCAGCCAACGAAAUUCCUUGGUUUUUGUAUAUGCAAAUGAGGCGUACACCGCCUCUCGUGCCCUCUCCUCAGCAGGUGGUGGGGUUGGGCGCUGGGGAUCGAUCUAAAUUUUUCUACGAGGCGCCAUUUUGUGCUGAGAAUGACCUGUGACCUGUGUCCUGGGUUGCUGAGGUUCAAACACCAGUCAGCACGGCCUCGAAGGCUUGGACCUCUGUCCCCGGCCAGACGUCAGUCACGACGCCGGGCCUCAGUUUCCUCCUGUGGGAAAUGGGCGCGGGGAUCCCUCAUGAUGACCGAGAAGGAAGAAGGAAGAGUCCCCAGGCCCUCUUCGCGGCCGGGCCCGGCCCGUGAUUGACCCGCGGCCCCCAGCCGGCCAGGCCCUCACUGGCACUCAGUUUCCCUGUGUGGGAAAUGGACACACCGCGGCCUCAGGCCUCAGUUAGUGAAGUGGUCCCGCCUCUGCCUCCUCCCGGGGCGGCCCUGUGCUGGUACCCAGCGAGGAGGAGGAGCGGAAGCGGAAGUGGCCUCCCGGGCUCGUGUGCGGCCGUCUCAGGCCCUCGGCUCAGCUAGGCGCAGCCCGGCUUGGCCACAGCGUCCUGCAAAGGCGCGUGGCUGACAGCUUCCCCUCAUUGGGCCUCGGCUUCCGGGACAGGAGGCGGGGACGUGUGAGACCCCGCCGCUGCAGUCGUAUAAUAGAGAGCUCGCGUGGGGUCCGCCCUCACGCCGCACCCGGAACCUCAGCCUGCUGCGAGCGGACGCUUCCGGCCGGUGGAACAGACAGGGACCCUGAAGGACGGGCGUCCAGUGACUUGCCCAGGGCCCCCCACCCCGGCUGGGACCAGACAGAGGUGGUAGUCAAGCUCUGUCUCAAAAACCCGCCCAACAGCCACGACGAUGGUGAGAAUAACGGUGGUUAUUUAUUCCGUGCCUGCCGGGUGCCAGGCGCGGUUCCGGCUCCUUGCGGGCUUGAUCUCCGUCCUUGCGGCGUUCCUGGCAGGUGCAUGUUGUUAGGAUUCCCCUCCGGACACCUGCGUUCAUUCAAUGACAUUUUUGCUUUUUGAGCACCUACGAUGUGGCAGGCAGGAUGCUAUGGGGACAUGGCAGAGUAGAAGGGACAAAAUUCCUGCUCUCAUGGAGCUUACAGACCCCGGGGAGCCAAACAGUAAGGAAUGAAACCCACAUCGUCCCUUCAGCUUGAAUUCCAGCUUCCGAAAUUAAUCGCCAUUUCUCCUGUUCACCUGUAUUAAAUUACCAAAGAAACACGCUUGGAGGGAAAUUCACGCAGUUACAGACGUGCCAGAAGUAAAAGCGGGGGGUGUGGCUCUAGCCCUCCCUCUGUGCUGUGUUUGCACACCCUCAGGUAGCCACCCCCAGAGAGGUACUCAUCACAUCCCCGCACAGUCUGCUGUGGCUGUGUGUGUGGAUCGGCUGCUGUGCAGCGUUCCUCCAUAGGAGCACCCAGAGUUGCUGGCAUUCUCCGACAGAAGGGCCUUGACGGCGGGUCCAGCCUCUGGCUAGAAGCCACAGUGAGCAUCCUCGAGCAUUAUUCUUUGGGCACAGCUGUGAGCUGUUCUGAUGGAGAAAUUCCUUCUUUUAAUGACAGUAGACCUGACACCUCGGAUGCGCCCCAAGAUUGAACAGAAUAACGCCCACUGCUGGUGGAGAAAUUCCUGGAAGUGGGAUGGCGGGAUCAAAGGGUACGUGUGUUUGCAAUCCUGCCAAGUGGCCCUUGGCAGCUUCCACUUAUUUGGAUUCCCACCAUCAGGAUCUCACCCGUUCAUUCAACAAGUGUUUAUUUAGCACCAGCCAUUUGCCAGGCACUGUUCUAGGUGCAUUGAUGACCGACACGAAGCAAAGCGCUGCCUUCCUGGGGCUUCCAUUCUGGGGGGGAGACGGGUUUAAACCACAUACACUACAACCAGCGUGGCCGACUAUCCUGGUUUGCCUGGAUGCAGGACUUUCAGUGCUAAUACUGGGACAGCCCCGGGCUAAUAGGUAAGAGAAGUUGGUAGUGUCCAGACAUUACUUAACUAUAAUGAGAGCAGUUAAGGUUCCAGAAUGCCGGGGGUGGGGGGUGGGGUGUAAUUUUAGGUGAGUGGUCAAGGUAGACUGUCCUCGAGAAGGUGACAUUUGAAUCAAGAGAGCAAGUUUUGUGGAAAUCCGGAGGAGAAGACCAUUGCAGGCAGAGGCAGCCACGGACGUCGAUGUCCUGAUGCAGGAAUAAGCCUAAGUAUUAGCCAUCUUUAAAACUUGCGCCAGUCCUGGGCAGACAAAGGGGCCUGUCUUCAUUUUCGUUUCCUUUCUUCCCAGUGAGGCUGAGCUUCUCUUUGUGGGUAAACGCCUCCAUCUUAAUUUGAGUCCACCGUCUGUGGUCACUAGCAGGUCCUCUGUCCCUCAGCGGCCUUACUGUUUCUAAGCACGGCCUCUGCCUGUGCUGUGGUAAGUGAAGGACGAGAACUACCUGCCUUUGUGCCUGGAAACAGAAGUCAGAGCUUCCCCGGUGGGAGGGCCCUCACGGAUCAGUAAAUAUGCCCCGAAUGGGUCAGAUGCUCCCUCUAGCGACGGACACACUAGUAACGAAAUCCGUCGCCCAGCUCUUCCCCUGCUCCACAAACCCCAGAAAGCAGGGCAGACUUCAUGUUGUAUAAAAACACACUUUAGUGCUCUAGGGGCUUCUUUUAAUGACAGUAGACCUGACACCUCGGAUGCGCCCCAAGAUUGAACAGAAUAACGCCCACUGCUGGUGAGAGUGAGAGCACGUGGACGUUCUCACCUACGUGGACUUGGCAAGGCUUUCGGGAUUGCAACUUGGCAUUGUGUAACGAAAGUCUUCAAAACACACUUGCCUUCUGACCCAGACAUUCACCUCCUGGGGACUCAUGCUGGGAAAAGUAAGUGAAUGCACCACGCGGUGUGCAAAAGGGUGUUCCUCAAAGUCUUGUUCAUAGUAGCGUAUUGUUCAUGUGUAAUGGGAGAAACCCAUGUGUGUAUUGGUGGGGACUGGAAUAAAAACGGCGCUGCCUCCGUGCAUCUGUAGAGGAUAGAAUACUCUACCGCCAUCGAAAAUUAUGGUGAAUUUGUCGUCGUUGGAAUUGUUGGUGUCUCAAAGAAUCCGAUGAAGGUACUGGAUCCUCUUCCCUCCCCAAAGCAUGUGCAAAUGCUAACUAAUAAAUGCCAGAGGAAUGGUGAAGUUAGAAAAUGAUUGUUGGGCAAGCACCGUAAUAAUCACUGAUUCAGGCAAGAGACUCACCCAUGGAGCCUGGAAGCAGAAGGAGAAAGUUUGAGGAGGAACAAGUGUCAGCGCCUCUCCUGGUGAGACACUUCCUGUUUACACAGGGGGCCACAGCACCUUCCCGGUGCCCCGGCCAAGGGGUCAGAGCGAAUCUCCCCCAGCCUGGUGGUGUCAGUGGUCAAGAGGGCGUACCUCCUGAUGCUGACCCGCCCGUCGCUUCUGUGCUUCUGCCAAACACACAUAGCCCAGAUCUAAUCACGAGCACACGUGAACCCCAGGUGCAGGGACACGCUGCAAAAUAGCCUGCCGGACUCCAAAGUCAUCAGCGAAAAAGACUGAGGAACCACUCAAGUUGAAAGAGCCUCGACAGACACGAUCGCCAUGUCCAACACUUACUCCCAGGGUGGCAGUAUUUCCCUGCAGCUACCACAGUGUGAAAUUGCAGGGUAGAGGGACAGGAAAACUGCUCUCAAGGACAGAAUUGGGACAGCUGGUAAACUUGAACAUGAACUCGAUCAGUGUUAAGUUCUUGAUUUUGCUAAUUAUACUGUGGCUGUGUAAGAGCACGUCCUUGUUUUUCAGAAAUGUCCCUCAGGGGUAAGUGUAUGCAACUUACUCUUUAAAAAAUAUAUGUGUUUAUGUGGAAAGAAAGCCAUAAAGUAAUGUGAUGAAAUGUUAA
Long non-coding RNA from Equus caballus (horse), 4333 nucleotides. RefSeq lists it as uncharacterized. NCBI's taxonomy places the organism in Eukaryota, Metazoa, Chordata, Mammalia, Perissodactyla, Equidae. The record is from RefSeq and is a predicted model, not a curated record.